Molecule: transfer RNA, 85 nt
Organism: Treponema brennaborense DSM 12168
Lineage: Bacteria; Pseudomonadati; Spirochaetota; Spirochaetia; Treponematales; Treponemataceae
Rfam family: tRNA
About the family: Transfer RNA (tRNA) molecules are approximately 80 nucleotides in length. Their secondary structure includes four short double-helical elements and three loops (D, anti-codon, and T loops).
Source: Rfam
GGAAGCGUGGUAGAGCGGUAAUACAACGGAUUGCUAAUCCGUCGGUUCUUCACAGGCCGGGCAGGUUCGACUCCUGUCGCUUCCG